Molecule: long non-coding RNA, 3451 nt
Organism: Numida meleagris (helmeted guineafowl)
Lineage: Eukaryota; Metazoa; Chordata; Aves; Galliformes; Numididae
Exons: 5
Source: RefSeq, a predicted model, not a curated record
UAUCUGAGGCCUUCUGGAUGUUAGCAGCCUUUUCCCCUUAUUUCUGCACCCACUGCUGCCAUGUCUGAGCAGCUCCUUGCUUGCUGCAGGCUGGGAUCUUGCUGCUCUGCUGCCUUGUUGCACUUUCUAUGGUGUUACAAUCAUGUUGCGCUUGUAAACUAGGAUGUCCUGUUUCUGGUCUGCAGAUAUUUCCAUACAGCGAGAACUGUCUGCUCAGUACUGGUCACAGAAAGCACCUUGAAACUGCUACUCAGCAUUACAGAAGCUCUACUUCCAUUUCAGCCAAAGGUGGAGGAGCCGUUUUCACAGUGUAAUGAGCAAUGAUCUGUUGGAAAGACCACUCAGGCUUGUGAGAGACUGCAGGAGGACAUGCUGCUGCAUGGCUCCACUUCAUUCGAAAAGCAACUACACGUAACAUCUACCCAGAGACUAUAAUGCAGGUACAAAGGAUGCAGCUGGACUGCUAACCAUUUGGCUGGUAACCUUUCCACCUGGCACUCAUUUGCAUUAUUGAAAUAUAUAUUCCAGGUGACUCACCCCCUUUCUUUAGGUUACUGUUUGACUUUCAGACAUAGCUGGGGUCCUUCUGGUUAAAGAUGCAUGAAGUAAGCACCAGCAAGAAGCACCAGCACUGUUAUGCGUCAUCCUCCUUAAAAUCCUUGGUAUGCCUGUGUCUGCUGAUCAGUGCAGAAGAAAGACUAGUUCUAUUUUUAGAUGUGAUGGUAAAAACCAGUAUGAAUGGACACGCCAGCUUUCCUCAUUACAAGAAGAAGACUGAUCUGUCCUCCAGCAGAUAUCAUACAUUGUUUGCCAUGAGACCUGCAUUUAACCAAAGGAGAUCUUGUGGGAAAGGCUUUAUCUGUGACAGAAUGAUAUCUAUUUGAUAACUUACCCGCCGAAGACAGCUGCUGGUGCACAGUAGAAGCCAGAAAGAUAUAAAUGUAAAAAAGAGGUGAACAGAGAAAGAAAGGAUACAUCCUGAAGACAGAAAGAAAAUACUUGAAUCCUUUGACCCAUGUCUGUCUGUUGCCUUCCUGGAUGCAAGAGGGAAAUGAAAAAUGUAGAAAAAGCGUGCAAGCAAGUUCUCUGAGGCUAUUUGAUAAAGCUCCAUCAUGUUAUUAACAAAAGAGGGAAGAACCUGUGUCCAAUUAUGGCACUAGGGUUUUCUGUUGUUAUUUUUCUUAAAUCAGGAGUGAUUACCAUGAUGGCAUGGGGGUGGUCAGGCUAUAAUGAAAGGGAAUGUUUUUUCUAUAUGCAGUAGAAAGUUAGUAUCUUGGAACUCCAUACUAAUAGAUAAAAAUUAAUAGUGCUAUAGGAACCAACUGCCAUCCCUGCUUGUAUUUAGGCAAGAAAAAGGGAACUCAAAUGCUGUUUUUUGUCUCAGCUGAGCAUGCUAGGGUGGGAUUUUUAAAUGCAAAUAUUCAGGAAAGAGGACCUGUGCUUUCUGAGUGCUCCAAAAACAUGUAUUUUGUAAUUUUCUAAACCAUGAGCAAUGUGUUUAAAAUGCUGUCCUGGGACUUCUGAAUGCAGCUUCUCAAUGGUAGUUCUGGAAGGCAAGAGGACAAAAAAUUGCCUGGAUUCUGAUGGAAAUGACAGUGCUUAUGCAGCUUAAGACUUUGCAUAAUACUUGGUUAAAGUGACCUUGCAAAGGUUAAUCUUCCUUGAACAAAAAGAAGAAAAAGUGGUGCUCAAGUCCUUUAGCCUGAUGUUUAUUUUCAAGAGUAGUCUUUUUAUACUAACUGCUUACACUCAAUGGAUGUGCUUUACAGUAAUGCUUAUGCUGUGCAUGUUGCCAUUUCUACUUCCAUUUUAUGCCUACCAAUUUCAUCUGGAUAGAUGACUGCAACUUUUCCUUUUGGAUUUGGCCCUUAGCGCUGUUUCCCCUGUUUCUGUCAUUUUAAGAUGUUUGCGCCAUCCUUUACAAAAGUGCUGAAGCUUUAAAUCAUUGGGAAACUGCAACUAGUGAGAAAUGCAGCUAUUCAUUAGAGGGAACAUUUUGUACAGGCAAAUGUGAUCUUGGAAUUGUGGGCGGUUUGAGCUGAAAUUGAAGUCACUGGCUUUGACUUGGGACUUGAUACACAGAGAGAUUUCUUCUCUGGGCUGUGCUGUAGCUGCUGUAAUCCUUAAACUGGAGCUUUCUCAAUAUGAAAGAGGGGAGGAGCUUUGAUGGCUGUGAACAAACUGAAAUUACUGCCUGUCCUAGUGUCAAAAAUUGCCUUUCUGUGGUGACUUUUCAGGCUACUGUAAAAGCCAACUGUUUGAGAGUGUUUGGAGAAAGCUGAGAGCCAACUUCUCACAGCAGUGGUGAGGAAGGAAGUAAUUUCUGUUCAUUGUUGCAUUCCCACGUAAAUGAUUAGAUUAAGGCCUCUGUAUUUCAUUGUAUUGUAUAAAUUAAUGAUGAUGCUAUUAGGGAUCUACAGUCAUGGAUAUGGGGGAGAGGGGUGUCAUUUUAAUUCUAAAUAAAUUCUACAGGUGCUGCAGUGGUUUGUGUAAUUGACAAGAGGAGAAAUGAGUCAUCACAACACUGCCUCCUAGCUACAGGCAUAUGAGGGUUUGUAACAGAUUUCGAAGCACUGUUUUUCUCUGAUCUCACCAUCGAGACAAAUACUCUUUUGUAAAAUGUACAUUUUGAUUUCUGUAGAGUGACAAAUUGGUAUUAGUUUAGCUUAGCUCAAUCUUAUUUACCCAUGCAUUUACUUCUACCCCCACAAAUGGUCACAUCAGCUGUCACUACAGAGGUGGACCUCCAGUACUCUGAAAAACCCCUGUAAUGUCUAGUGCCUCAUAACAAAGUGUUGUCCCUGAGUGAUGGGCUGAGGGCACCAUGUUUAGAACAAGGAUGUUUUUUUCCAGCCCUCUCUGGAUGGAAAAGAAAGUCACAUGAUACAGAAGAGAGCAGCACGCAGAGACAGUUGUUUGCUUAGGUAGUAUUUGUCAGAACAGAAUUCCUUUGCUUUGAAAAUGAGGGGCAGGUUCUCAUAUGAGAUCUUUUAGGCAGAAUUGUUGGGAUUUCCGUAAACCAAGAGAUGUGGCUACAGAGAUGAAUUUCCAUGGCUCAGGUGGUGGCUCAUCUCACCCCUACAGGUCUAUCCUGAGGGAAGCUUUAGAACCAAACCAUGUGAGAACAAAGUGUGCUUUCAGCUGGGAUUAAGCCAGACAUCCGUGUUAUAGUUGUAUGCUCUUUUAUUUUGCAUGAUAAAUUACUCUCCUUUUAAAUAAAUAUGAUAGGUUUGUUUAUUCACAUUGUUUCAAUUCUGCAUUAUUCCUACUUCCUUGUACUGUCCAGUGCGCAUAUAUAAAUAUGGACACACCAUAUAAAAUCAAGUUGUCAGCAAACAGUGUUGCAUGGGUGAUUAGAUCAAUAAUGGAAUCCAGGAGCUACUGGUUUUGGUGAACAUCACCACUCUGGAAACACUUGGAACUUCCUGUAGCCUAAAUAUUGCUCAGAUAG